UAAACGUUGACAAAGAGGAGUUCAGGGGCAA
RNAcentral lists this non-coding RNA (31 nucleotides) under Rattus norvegicus (Norway rat). The record is from RNAcentral. Lineage: Eukaryota; Metazoa; Chordata; Mammalia; Rodentia; Muridae.